This is a long non-coding RNA of Sapajus apella (tufted capuchin), 1108 nucleotides long. RefSeq lists it as uncharacterized. Lineage: Eukaryota; Metazoa; Chordata; Mammalia; Primates; Cebidae. The record is from RefSeq and is a predicted model, not a curated record. The transcript is spliced from 2 exons.
UUAAGGAGUAGUGGCAUUCAGCCAAGAGGCUGCUACAGGGAUAUGGGUACUUUUAGAUUUGCCGGGUCUUCUUGGAAGAUCGGCUUUCCAUGUGCUUCUGAUUUGUUUCCAGGGAGGUGGUGGUGUUCGUGUUUGAUGAAGCUGCUGACACCACCAUGCUGACGUCCUGCGAAGUGAAAGUCUGAGUUCAGAGAAGGUGGCUGCUCAGGGCUUCGUCCGCAGUAGUGGCAAAAAGCCAGUGACUCAGAUGGAUGAUGACCUUCACUUACAGCAGCUGGUCAACGACCAAGUUCCUCCCUGGUCAUGGCUGUGCUGGCUGUGACACCUCCAGAGGUGACAAUCCUGGCAGAAUCCUGCACUGGUGCGAGAUGCACAAAGAAUCAAAACAGAAACUGCAGCGAUGUCCUUAAAUGUCACCCGAAAGUCCAAGACCAGGUUUUUUGCCUGGUGUCUUUCACUGGCUGAAAUUAAUUCUUAGGACAACAUCUGCUCCUUAUAAACUCAAGCAAGAGGUGAGGAAACUGAUGCUCAUGAUGGGCCCCGUGCAGCGCGCCACCUCAGCUGGCCCAGUGGCAGAGCUGGAGUGCACUGCCUGUGAAUGACUCCAAAGUCACCACACGCUGAUCUAGGAUGUGAUGUUCUGUCUCCACCACUCAAGGCAAGCUUUGGCCAAACAACCUUCUUUAGAGUGAAGUUUCUGGAUUUCCUAGGAGUUGCAAAAAGUGACCUCCUUGGCACUCUCUGAAAUCAUUCCUUUUUACAUUCUGCUUAAAAUCCACAUUUUUAAGAAAUUCCACAUUGAACUGGCUUAAUUGCAUGCCCUUUCAGGACAAGAGAAGUGGGCGUCAAGUGGUUGCUUUCCCUGUGAAUUUCAGGGUUGGAUAACUUUUCUCACAAGCCCUUCGGGGACUGGCCAGUGCUCAGGAACAGUGUCCAGUGUGUGCUGGGACAGCAGGAGAAGGUGGCCACCUCUCAGGAAAGGAGGGAGAAAAUGACUCACUUGGAAGCUGGCUUGGGGUGGGCCUGCCCUUUUCAUUGCCUGCUACUCCAUCAUUUCGGUCUCCUGGGGCUGCCAUCACAAAGCAGCAAAAAUUAGAAACUUAAAGAA